Molecule: ribosomal RNA, 460 nt
Filed under: uncultured bacterium
Lineage: Bacteria
Description: partial 16S ribosomal RNA
Rfam family: Bacterial small subunit ribosomal RNA
Source: RNAcentral
CCUACGGGUGGCAGCAGUGAGGAAUAUUGGUCAAUGGGCGCGAGCCUGAACCAGCCAAGUAGCGUGAAGGAUGACUGCCCUACGGGCUGUAAACUCCUUUUCUAAAGGAAUAAAGUGAGGCACGUGUGCCUUUUUGUAUGUACUUUAUGAAUAAGGAUCGGCUAACUCCGUGCCAGCAGCCGCGGUACUACGGAGGAUCCGAGCGUUAUCCGGAUUGAUUGGGUUUAAAGGGAGCGUAGAUGGGUUGUUAAGUCAGUUGUGAAAGUUUGCGGCUCAACCGUAAAAUUGCAAUUGAUACUGGCAGUCUUGAGUACAGUUGAGGUAGGCGGAAUUCGUGGUGUAGCGGUAAAAUGCUUAGAUAUCACGAAGAACUCCGAUUGCGAAGGCAGCUUACUAAACUGCGACUGACAUUGAUGCUCGAAAGUGUGGGUAUCAAACAGGAUUAGAUACCCCUGUAGUC